RNAcentral lists this ribosomal RNA (250 nucleotides) under uncultured bacterium. Its description in RNAcentral is "partial 16S ribosomal RNA". It matches the Rfam family "Bacterial small subunit ribosomal RNA", at positions 524 to 773 of the family's 1533-position model. The record is from RNAcentral.
UACGUAGGUGGCAAGCGUUGUCCGGAUUUAUUGGGUUUAAAGGGUGCGUAGGCGGUCUUGUAAGUCAGUUCUGAAAUAUCCCGGCUUAACCGGGAGGGUGGGAUUGAUACUGCAGGACUUGAGUGGAGUCGAGGUAGGCGGAAUUGACGGUGUAGCGGUGAAAUGCUUAGAUAUCGUCAAGAACACCGAUAGUGUAGACAGCUUACUAGUCUCAAACUGACGCUGAGGCACGAAAGUGUGGGGAUCAAAC